Long non-coding RNA from Acinonyx jubatus (cheetah), 1206 nucleotides. RefSeq lists it as uncharacterized. Lineage: Eukaryota; Metazoa; Chordata; Mammalia; Carnivora; Felidae. The record is from RefSeq and is a predicted model, not a curated record. The transcript has 3 exons.
CCUGAACUCUGUCUCCCUCUCUCUCCCGUCUCCACAUCCUGGAGUCCAAGACAGGAGAUCGCAACAUAGAGAAGGCUGCAGAGAGUGUCCCCAUCACCUGUGCUUUACCAGGGACCCAGUGACCAAACCAGGGAUAACUGGAUACGCAAAGACUGGCAAGCAGACUGCCAAACAGAGACAAAGUCCUGGGGGACGGCGGAAGGAAGUGGCCCCGGAGAUGCCCUGAGAACGGAAGGUCAUCUAAGACAGUGCUGCUCUCUCUGCUCUGUACCUUGCAAACUGGCUUGAUGCAGACCUGAGUGCAGACAGAGCUCCCAGAAAGAAGUCUGUGUGGUUUCCUAAGAGGUCUGCAGUCCCCUGGCCCUGUGCCAGGAGGGACUCCCACCACCCCGUGCUCAGACCUCAGACCUCUCUAGGAGGAGAUCUGGACGCACAUCCACACUCCCCUGCACACGGGAUGUACCAAACCAGCAGAAGGAGAGCUUCUGCCCCAGCGAGCCCUCUGGUUUCCUGCAGCAGAAACAGAUCAUGUUGGGAGCAGCAAAGGGAAGGGGAGGCAGAGCAUGUGCUCAGCGGUGAGGCCUUCAUGAGCGAGGGGCAGGCAGAGAAGGCCCGUGCUCCUCAGCACACCACAAAGGAAAGCUAGAGCCAUCGCCCAGGUAUGCUCUGCAUGUGCAAUAAACCACGCUCACCUCAAACCCCACAUUAUAGUUUCCACUGAAAUGGAGGCUCACCCAACAGUCACGUCUCACAUCACAUUGGUGACAUAGCCUUGAGAAGGUGGUUACCCAUCCUGCUUCCACUCAUGCACAGAACUGUGUUUGAUGUUAGCACUUGCGUGUGCUUUUGGAUUGGGCUUCUGGAUACGCAUGGUGGCAGCUCUUAAAAGUCAGCUCUGCUUUUACCUGAGCCUCCAACAAAUCAUAAACCCUUGGCUAGGUCAAAUGGCCUAAACUUCCCACCAUCCUAUCUGCUCACGUUACAAAGGAAGGGCAGACAAGAACUCUACUCUGUAUGCCUGGAAUCCUGAUGGCAAGGAGCCUCCUAAGUCCCAUAGGGACAGAUGCCCUGUGAAAAAUAAAUGAGGUUUAUAAAAAUUACACCUGCAUGUGUCCGUUGGGAAACAGAGCCUUGUGAAAUGGAAUGGGGUAUUAAUGCAGGAAUCCAGGUCAGCCACGGUAGGUAAGAAUCACCAUGGUCAGACCU